CCUACGGGAGGCAGCAGUGGGGAAUAUUGGGCAAUGGGCGCAAGCCUGACCCAGCAACGCCGCGUGAAGGAAGAAGGCUUUCGGGUUGUAAACUUCUUUUUUCAGGGACGAAGCAAGUGACGGUACCUGAGGAAUAAGCCACGGCUAACUACGUGCCAGCAGCCGCGGUAAUACGUCGGUGGCAAGCGUUAUCCGGAUUUACUGGGUGUAAAGGGCGUGUAGGCGGGACUGCAAGUCAGAUGUGAAAACCACGGGCUCAACCUGUGGCCUGCAUUUGAAACUGUAGUUCUUGAGUACUGGGGAGGCAGACGGAAUUCCUAGUGUAGCGGUGAAAUGCGUAGAUAUGAGGAGGAACCCCAGUGGCGAAGGCGGUCUGCUGGACAGCAACUGACGCUGAGGCGCGAAAGCGUGGGGAGCAAACAGGAUUAGAUACCCCGGUAGUC
RNAcentral lists this ribosomal RNA (443 nucleotides) under uncultured bacterium. RNAcentral's name for it is "partial 16S ribosomal RNA". It matches the Rfam family "Bacterial small subunit ribosomal RNA", at positions 338 to 795 of the family's 1533-position model. The record is from RNAcentral.